CGGGCUACACUUCCACCCUUUGUUAACUACACUUUGUUGCUUUGGCGAGACGCCUUCGGGCCACCGGCUUCGGCGGGUGCGCGCUCGCCAGAGACCCCAAAACCCAAACCUUUUUAGUGUCGUCUGAGAACAAGUUUAAUAAUUAAAACUUUCAACAACGGAUCUCUUGGCUCUGGCAUCGAUGAAGAACGCAGCGAAAUGCGAUAAGUAAUGUGAAUUGCAGAAUUCAGUGAAUCAUCGAAUCUUUGAACGCACAUUGCGCCCCUUGGUAUUCCGGGGGGCAUGCCUGUUCGAGCGUCAUUAUCACCCUCAAGCUCAGCUUGGUCUUGGGGCCCGCCCGUCACAGGGCGGCCCUUAAAAGCAGUGGCGGUGCCAUCUGGCUCUACGCGUAGUAAUACUCCUCGCGACAGAGUCCCGGUGGUCUCCUGCCAGAACCCCAAACUUUUUAAUGAUUGACCUCGGAUCAGGUAGGGAUACCCGCUGAACUUAAGCAUAUCAAUAAGCGGAGGAAAAGAAACCAACAGGGAUUGCCUCAGUAACGGCGAGUGAAGCGGCAAAAGCUCAAAUUUGAAAUCUGGCUCUUUCAGGGUCCGAGUUGUAAUUUGUAGAAGAUGCUUUGGGUGUGGCUCUGGUUUAAGUUCUUUGGAAUAUUACAUCAUAGAGGGUGAGAAUCCCGUAUGUGACCAGUCGCCGCCCCCGUGUAAAGCUCUUUCAACGAGUCGAGUUGUUUGGGAAUGCAGCUCANAAUGGGAGGUAUAUUUCUUCUAAAGCUAAAUAUUGGCCAGAGACCGAUAGCGCACAAGUAGAGUGAUCGAAAGAUGAAAAGCACUUUGNAAAGAGAGUUAAACAGUACGUGAAAUUGNUGAAAGGGNNAGCGCUUGCAACCAGA
Molecule: ribosomal RNA, 889 nt
Filed under: uncultured fungus
Lineage: Eukaryota; Fungi
Description: eukaryotic LSU rRNA
Rfam family: Eukaryotic large subunit ribosomal RNA (bases 454-889)
Source: RNAcentral